This 1276-nucleotide ribosomal RNA is filed under the name Acanthochitona mahensis. RNAcentral's name for it is "16S ribosomal RNA". The stretch from base 1 to 479 matches the Rfam family "Bacterial large subunit ribosomal RNA", at positions 1974 to 2925 of the family's 2925-position model. Lineage: Eukaryota; Metazoa; Mollusca; Polyplacophora; Chitonida; Acanthochitonidae. The record is from RNAcentral.
UUUUAAUUGAAAGCUAGAAUGAAUGGCUUGACGAAAACAUAACUGUCUCUUUUACAUUAACUAAAAAUUAAUUUUCAGGUGAAGAAGCCUGAAUAUACUCAAAAGACGAAAAGACCCUAUCGAGCUUAAAAAUAUUUUUAAUCUAUUUUAUCUUAGCUAAAUAAAAAUUAAAAACAAUUUUUUGUUGGGGCGACAGAAGAACAAAUAAAGCUUCUUUUAAUUAAACAAAUUGAUAAAUUUUAAAGACCCAGCAAUACUGAUUAAAAGAAAAGUUACCGUAGGGAUAACAGCGUAAUUUCUUUGGAGAGCUCAAAUUGAAAAAGAAGUUUGCGACCUCGAUGUUGGAUUAAAAAAUCUUCUUGGUGCAGAAGCCAAGACAGAAGGUCUGUUCGACCUUUAAACUUUUACAUGAUCUGAGUUCAAACCGGCGCAAGCCAGGUUGGUUUCUAUCUUUGAGGCAAGCACUUAUAUUUCAGUACGAAAGGACCAAGUAUAAUAAAUAAUUUAAUCUAAAUAUAUUAGGUUAGAGAAAAGUUAGCCCCAAAUCAAAUUGACAAAACAGCAAAAUGAAUAAUAGUGAAAAACGGAUUUAAUUUAAAAAAGUCUUAUGAGAGACAUAGUAGCAAAAUUUUUAAUAGUACAGCUUAAAACCGGUACCUCUUGCAUUAUGGCUUAACAAGAUUUUUAAGGAAAUUCCGGUUUCUAGAAAGAAAAAGAGCUAUAUGUGAACAAAAACGUGUGACACAACUUGAAUUGAUUUACCUAUAGAAGUGAAAAACUUGCCGAUUUUUCUGAUAGCUAGUUGAGAGAAAAAAGUGUAUAAGCACUGGUCAAAAUAAGAUUUACCUCAAAACUUAAGAAAAAUUUUAUUUUGAUCACAAUUUUUCAAGGACAAGCUUGAAAAACAAAAGUAUCUAAAUUAACAAAAAACAUAUAUAGGCUUAAAAGUUGCCAUUAUAUUUAUUGUUUUCUAACUUUUCUAUAAAUAUUUUAAAUCGAUUCUUUAAAACAUCUCUCUAAGUCAUUAAACCAUAAAUUUGACAGAAUUUAUGUUAAGAUGAGUAUUUUACAAAAUAAAGUUUAAGAUUACAUUAAACCUAAAACUCUAUAUCAAAAAUAAAUAUAAAUGUAAAAAAGGAACUCGGCAAAUAUAUGUUUCGCCUGUUUAUCAAAAACAUCGCUCUUUGCUUCUAAAAAUAAAGAGUCGUGCCUGCCCAGUGAUAAUUUUAAACGGCCGCAGUACCCUGACUGUGCUAAGGUAGCAUAAUCACUUGCU